Molecule: long non-coding RNA, 851 nt
Organism: Drosophila simulans
Lineage: Eukaryota; Metazoa; Arthropoda; Insecta; Diptera; Drosophilidae
Exons: 4
Source: RefSeq, a predicted model, not a curated record
GAUAUGCAAAUCCAGGCCAAGCUCACAACUAACUGAUUCUAAUUACCGGCGUAAUCGGCUCAAUUCACCCUUUUUCGAAAGUUGUCAACGGCCUGGCGGAAAUUCCAGUCUGUCCACUUACCCACGGAUCCCCAGUCGGGAUGGGCCAGGUUAUUGUACCAGCCGUCGUAGCGCUGUUUCUCGGUCUGACUAUACAUUUUCUCUGAAAGAUAGGAACGCAGGUGACACAUGUUAAAGUUUACUGCCUUAGAGCAAUUACAUUUAAUCUAUUUGAGUGUGGGAACUGUUCUACGGAGUCGUUCUCGUUUAUUACCUAUUAAAACCAUAUCUGAGGUCACCGCCAUGGAUCUAAAUUAUUAAGUUUAAUUAACUUUCAAGCGGAUAACAGAACAUUCAGCAAAGUAAUACUUCUGUUACGGCGUCAACUUUUUGAAUUCGACCAUAACUCCCCGUUCUGGACAGAAAAAGAUGGUUUGUUUGCCGAAUUCGUGGGUUCGCCGUCUUCGUCGUGAGCAAACCAUGGCAGAUGUAUAUGACGUUGGCAGCUACAGCUACAGCUACAAGUCAUGAAUAUAUUUCGUACCAUUUUCGAGAGCCACUGAGUGAGUCUGAGAUGGCAAACAGAAUCAGAUCCGGUUAACCAAAAACGUAGCCAGCUGAGGAGACUCAGAGAGAGGAAGCCUCAGCUGACUCCGAUCAGCUAUAUAUGCUUAUAUAUAUAUAAAACUAUAUGUACACAAACACUAUGCGUUGGCGGCGAACGGAAUGUUGCCCAGAUGUCCAGAUGUACUUCGGCUCACCAAGAGCUUGCUCAACUCUUGGAAAUGCCAAGUGGCGAGGUAAAUCCGCGC